This 274-nucleotide ribosomal RNA is filed under the name uncultured bacterium. RNAcentral's name for it is "partial 16S ribosomal RNA". It matches the Rfam family "Bacterial small subunit ribosomal RNA", at positions 523 to 796 of the family's 1533-position model. The record is from RNAcentral.
AUACGGAUGGUGCGAGCGUUGUUCGGAAUUACUGGGCGUAAAGGGCGCGUAGGCGGCGAUGUAAGUCAAAUGUGAAAGUCCUCGGCUUAACCGGGGAAGUGCAUCUGAAACUGCAUUGCUUGAGUAUGGGAGAGGAAAGUGGAAUUCCCGGUGUAGAGGUGAAAUUCGUAGAGAUCGGGAGGAAUACCGGUGGCGAAGGCGACUUUCUGGACCAAUACUGACGCUGAGGCGCGAAAGCGUGGGGAGCAAACAGGAUUAGAAACCCCAGUAGUCC